UUUCCAAUAACAUAGGUUUUCACUUCUUUCAACAUACAUCAUGUGUCAUCAGGUAAUUUAUGUACUUUGUUAGUCUCCUCCUAGAAGUCACUAUUAAGUGGUUACAAAACCCUGAUAAUUUAACAAUAAUAAGUAACAAUAUAAUUUUCUUUUCAAGCAUGUCAUGCAUGUCAGUAAGAUCCAAAAAUCCUCUCUCAAUCUUUGAUGACUAAGGCCACGAUCAGUCCCAUGACA
This 234-nucleotide long non-coding RNA is filed under the name Elaeis guineensis (African oil palm). RNAcentral describes it as "long non-coding RNA (EGUI_LNC003726)". The record is from RNAcentral. Lineage: Eukaryota; Viridiplantae; Streptophyta; Magnoliopsida; Arecales; Arecaceae.